Molecule: ribosomal RNA, 253 nt
Filed under: uncultured bacterium
Lineage: Bacteria
Description: partial 16S ribosomal RNA
Rfam family: Bacterial small subunit ribosomal RNA
Source: RNAcentral
UACAGAGGGUGCAAGCGUUAAUCGGAAUUACUGGGCGUAAAGGGCGCGUAGGCGGUAAAUUAAGUUGGAGGUGAAAGCCCUGGGCUCAACCUGGGAAUUGCCUCUAAGACUGAUUUGCUAGAGUAGGGUAGAGGGAAGUGGAAUUUCCGGUGUAGCGGUGAAAUGCGUAGAUAUCGGAAAGAACAUCAGUGGCGAAGGCGGCUUCCUGGACUUAUACUGACGCUGAGGCGCGAAAGCAUGGGGAGCAAACAGG